RNAcentral lists this ribosomal RNA (527 nucleotides) under uncultured bacterium. Its description in RNAcentral is "bacterial SSU rRNA". It matches the Rfam family "Bacterial small subunit ribosomal RNA", at positions 777 to 1301 of the family's 1533-position model. The record is from RNAcentral.
AAUAGAUACCCUGGUAGUCCAUGCCGUAAACGAUGUCUACUAGCCGUUGGGGCCCUUGAGGCUUUAGUGGCGCAGCUAACGCGAUAAGUAGACCGCCUGGGGAGUACGGUCGCAAGACUAAAACUCAAAUGAAUUGACGGGGGGCCCGCACAAGCGGUGGAGCAUGUGGUUUAAUUCGAUGCAACGCGAAGAACCUUACCUGGCCUUGACAUACAGAGAACUUUCCAGAGAUGGAUUGGUGCCUUCGGGAACUCUGAUACAGGUGCUGCAUGGCUGUCGUCAGCUCGUGUCGUGAGAUGUUAGGUUAAGUCCCGCAACGAGCGCAACCCUUUUUCCUUAUUUGCCAGCACUUCGGGUUGGGAACUUUAAGGAUACUGCCAGUGACAAACUGGAGGAAGGCGGGGACGACGUCAAGUCAUCAUGGCCCUUACGGCCAGGGCUACACACGUGCUACAAUGGUCGGUACAAAGGGUUGCUACUGCGCGAGCAGAUGCUAAUCUCAAAAAGCCGAUCGUAGUCCGGAUCGC